UAGCUUUCCAGAGUGACUGAAGUGUUUUGCACUCCCACCAGCAAUGUGUGGGAGUUCCAGUUGCUCCACAUUUUUGCCAAUACUUCUAUCAUUCUUUUCUAGUCUAUCUCAGCCUACAGGAAUGCAAAACACUCUUCACUGCUCCAUGAGUUACCCAAAUUUUAAACGGCUGAUGCCCCGGCUGAGGAGGGAGGACACGCCUGCAUUUCACAACUGGUUGUGAUCACAUCUGGCGCAGGGCCUAGGUCAGAGCCACGGAUCUGUCAACAUGACCUCUUUCGAUCACUGCAGAGUGUGCAGGAGGGCUUAAGUUCCUAGAAACGGACCAGAUGUGAAACCCAUCCAAAUGGAAUGAGCUCUUCUGAAGAACCUUGCUUAGUGGCAGGAGACGAGUUCUGUGUCAGAGUCUGAAGCCUAGAUCCUGGACCCAAAGCCACAACUUGCUGCAGGCCUGGCCAAGCUGCCGUGGGUCCUCGAGGGUGGCUCACUUCGCCACGAAGCCUGUUCCUCCUUCCUUUAUUUGACAUUCAUCUGCUCCUUUGGGAAGAGCCACCUCUGCUCACCACACUAGCAGCAUGCAGCACUGGCCUCACUCUGAAAUUAGCUGCUUUUUAGUAGACUCCUGUUUCUAAUUGUCACUUCCUGGAGGCAGAGUCAGCCAGCCCCUCUCAUGGCUUCUCAGUUCUCCAGCUGGGAUUUCUGGAGGCCACUGGGAGGCCACUUGCAUUUUUGCUGCCUUCCAACC
This 745-nucleotide long non-coding RNA is filed under the name Ailuropoda melanoleuca (giant panda). RNAcentral describes it as "lncRNA (ENSAMEG00000025390.1)". Lineage: Eukaryota; Metazoa; Chordata; Mammalia; Carnivora; Ursidae. The record is from RNAcentral.